RNAcentral lists this ribosomal RNA (483 nucleotides) under uncultured bacterium. Its description in RNAcentral is "partial 16S ribosomal RNA". It matches the Rfam family "Bacterial small subunit ribosomal RNA", at positions 28 to 507 of the family's 1533-position model. The record is from RNAcentral.
GACGAACGCUGGCGGCGUGCUUAACACAUGCAAGUCGAACGCUGAAGCUCAGCUUUUGUUGGGUGGAUGAGUGGCGAACGGGUGAGUAACACGUGAGUAACCUGCCCCCUUCUUUGGGAUAACGCCCGGAAACGGGUGCUAAUACUGGAUAUUCACUGGUCUUCGCAUGGGGGUUGGUGGAAAGGGUUUUUCUGGUGGGGGAUGGGCUCGCGGCCUAUCAGCUUGUUGGUGGGGUGAUGGCCUACCAAGGCUUUGACGGGUAGCCGGCCUGAGAGGGUGACCGGUAACAUUGGGACUGAGAUACGGCCCAGACUCCUACGGGAGGCAGCAGUGGGGAAUAUUGCACAAUGGGCGCAAGCCUGAUGCAGCGAUGCCGCGUGAGGGAUGGAGGCCUUCGGGUUGUGAACCUCUUUCGCUCAUGGUCAAGCCGCAACAAUGGUUGUGGUGAGGGUAGUGGGUAAAGAAGCGCCGGCUAACUACGUG